AAUAUUGUACAAUGGGGGAAACCCUGAUGCAGCGACGCCGCGUGAGUGAAGAAGUAUUUCGGUAUGUAAAGCUCUAUCAGCAGGGAAGAAAAAGACGGGCCCUGACUAAGAAGCCCCGGCUAACUACGUGCCAGCAGCCGCGGUAAUACGUAGGGGGCAAGCGUUAUCCGGAUUUACUGGGUGUAAAGGGAGCGUAGGUGGCGAGUCAAGUCAGAUGUGAAAGCCCGGGGCUCAACCCCGGGAUUGCAUUUGAAACUGGUUUGCUAGAGUGCAGGAGAGGUAAGUGGAAUUCCUAGUGUAGCGGUGAAAUGCGUAGAUAUUAGGAGGAACACCAGUGGCGAAGGCGGCUUACUGGACCGUAACUGACACUGAGGCUCGAAAGCGUGGGGAGCAAACA
RNAcentral lists this ribosomal RNA (397 nucleotides) under uncultured bacterium. RNAcentral's name for it is "partial 16S ribosomal RNA". It matches the Rfam family "Bacterial small subunit ribosomal RNA", at positions 360 to 774 of the family's 1533-position model. The record is from RNAcentral.